Molecule: ribosomal RNA, 253 nt
Filed under: uncultured bacterium
Lineage: Bacteria
Description: partial 16S ribosomal RNA
Rfam family: Bacterial small subunit ribosomal RNA
Source: RNAcentral
UACGUAGGGGGCAAGCGUUAUCCGGAUUUACUGGGUGUAAAGGGAGCGUAGACGGCAGCGCAAGUCUGGAGUGAAAUGCCGGGGCCCAACCCCGGAACUGCUUUGGAAACUGUGCGGCUCGAGUGCGGGAGAGGUAGGCGGAAUUCCUAGUGUAGCGGUGAAAUGCGUAGAUAUUAGGAGGAACACCAGUGGCGAAGGCGGCUUACUGGACCGUAACUGACGUUGAGGCUCGAAAGCGUGGGGAGCAAACAGG